UUGUUAGUUCAAGGACAUCAAAAGCACAAUUUUUUGUCAAAGUAGGGCUGCUUUUAGGUUCUAAAUUGGAGGGAGUAACUAGUGGUCUGAUACCUAAACAGUUAUGGAAUAUUCAUUUCACAGAUAUUUUCCGAAUGUCGUUACAAUCCCAUACUCUGUUCCCCGAAUGUGACCUACCGAAUUAGUCUUAUUAGAAUCUUUCGUCU
RNAcentral lists this long non-coding RNA (206 nucleotides) under Mytilus galloprovincialis (Mediterranean mussel). Lineage: Eukaryota; Metazoa; Mollusca; Bivalvia; Mytilida; Mytilidae. The record is from RNAcentral.